CGCAAGGGGAGUGGCAGACGGGUGAGUAACACGUGGGAACCUUCCCUAUAGUACGGAAUAACCCAGGGAAACUUGGAGUAAUACCGUAUACGCCCGAAAGGGGAAAGAAUUUCGCUAUAGGAUGGGCCCGCGUAGGAUUAGCUAGUUGGUGAGGUAAUGGCUCACCAAGGCGACGAUCCUUAGCUGGUUUGAGAGAACGACCAGCCACACUGGGACUGAAACACGGUCCAGACUCCUACGGGAGGCAGCAGUGGGGAAUUUUGCGCAAUGGGGGAAACCCUGACGCAGCAACGCCGCGUGGAGGAUGAAGUCCCUUGGG
This 319-nucleotide ribosomal RNA is filed under the name uncultured bacterium. RNAcentral describes it as "bacterial SSU rRNA". It matches the Rfam family "Bacterial small subunit ribosomal RNA", at positions 85 to 422 of the family's 1533-position model. The record is from RNAcentral.